Rhineura floridana is the source of this 1203-nucleotide long non-coding RNA. RefSeq lists it as uncharacterized. The transcript has 2 exons. NCBI's taxonomy places the organism in Eukaryota, Metazoa, Chordata, Lepidosauria, Squamata, Rhineuridae. The record is from RefSeq and is a predicted model, not a curated record.
CCCUUCCCCCUGCACAACAUUUAAAAUACGGAAGACCUCUUGGUUGCCAGGCCCAGCCUCCAAGAGGUCUUUUGUAUCUUUAAACAGAUACCUUUCUAACCUCAGUAGAUGGGAAGACCAGAAGAGGAGUCCCCACAGAUGACCUCAAUGGAUGGGCAGCAUCACACAGGAAUGGCUGGUCUUUGAGGGCUUAACAGAGUACCACUAGUAUUUCUUUAUGAGCCUGGAUAUUCCCAAGAAACCAGUGAAGUUGUGUUGGAAUUGCUUUCAUGGAUCAAAUAUCAAAGUGUCAUGACCAAUGAUCAGGAAUAAUGGGGAUUGUAGUCCAGCAACAUCUGGGACUCAAUGGUUGGAAAAGGAUGGUGUAGCGGGCCUUGCCCCUUCUUCCAUCAAUUUUGGCUUUCUCCCCACCCCCAUCCUUACAUGCCUCCAGCACCACCACCCACCUGCAUGAAAUUAGACUGAAGGAGAGGGAGCAAAGGGUUCGCCCUUCCAGAAGGAAACCAGGUUUUCCAUCAAUUCCAGAUCCAAGGAACAACUAUGGGCUCUCCAUAGUCCCUUACAUCCAUUGUUGCACCCAACUUGCAUGGACCCCAAGACAACAAGACCAUACUUUUCCUAUAACCACCCUUUGUAAAACAACAUUGUAAUUGUUUUACAAUACUUGAACCUUCAUCCCACCUUUCAAAUAGCUAGCCCCUUUUUGGAGAAAGUGCAGGAUAUGAAUUUGACAGGCGGACGGUUGGACGGACAGACAGACAGACAUAUUCCUGUGAAGUGGAGUUUGAUGAGGUCACUUGGAAUUAUCUGUUAGAUAUCUCUGGUUCACAUCAGAGUUUCACUUCUGCUGUUAGUUACAGUUUAGCUAUGGGUAACUAUGGAAUAAAAAUCUGAAACCUCAAUACUUAUUCUCAAUGACAGAUAGAAAUGUGGAGAAUCCUAAAGCGAGUCAGAGACUUACAAUGAAGAGGUUCAUCAUUGCAUAGGUCUCUUUGGCAGCAGUGGACCUUUAUCUGGAGGAAUUUACCACCACGUGAAGUGAAGCUGUAGUGCCCUGCACGGCAAGUAUUAUUCGCGACACAUCCAUAGUAAACCGAAGAAGCUGCAUACCCUUUAUCUGCAAGACAAAAAAUGUAAAGAAAUACCAAAAUGUGCAAAAACUUGUAAAAUAGUUGGAAAGAACUAUCAAGAUCUGUAAAAGUU